GCCCACCAUUUCCAUGGUAACCAACCAAAUUAAAUGCCAAAUAAGCAUUUGGCCCCAUGCCCGGGGCCAAACCAAAUGGCAAAUUUGCCAGUAAUCCCAUGGCCACCGUUGAAAUCAUUGCUGAAACAACGGUGGCCACCACAAGAUCACUUUUUGUCUUUGCAAGACAAGUUUCGUAGCCUGCGUUAGGUUUGACGACGCAGUCUGCACUCUUAGGUGGAGUGCAGUCUGCAGUCGAACAAGUGCCACCGGAGACUGCG
This 260-nucleotide long non-coding RNA is filed under the name Arachis ipaensis. Its description in RNAcentral is "long non-coding RNA (AIPA_LNC000511)". The record is from RNAcentral. Lineage: Eukaryota; Viridiplantae; Streptophyta; Magnoliopsida; Fabales; Fabaceae.